Molecule: transfer RNA, 63 nt
Filed under: Elateroidea sp. BMNH 1274768
Lineage: Eukaryota; Metazoa; Arthropoda; Insecta; Coleoptera
Description: tRNA-Pro
Source: RNAcentral
CAGACAAAAAUAUUAAAAUUGGAGAAAUAAAGAUUAUAAACAUUAGUUUUAAUAAUUUAAAUA